CAAUUUUCUGGUAUUAAGGACUUAUUCCAGAAUAUGAAAUACCCGAACUGCAUGAUUCCUAACUUGUCCUUUUAGGAAAAUUAUUGUCAGAGCUCCUUUUAUUUUUUGCCUGUCUUAAUGUCAGGGAUAACCAAAAGUGUUCAUGAUCAGUACACAUUUCAAAACUUUGUCCUUGAGAUUAUUAUGCUGUUGUCAAUUCUCUUAGAUGAACAUUUAGGAAAAUUCUAUUACCACAGCUUUUGCUUCUAUAUAUGGAUGUCUUAAGCCCAAGCUAGAUGCAAAUAUUUUCCAGCAAUACUGUGGCAUUGCUUUACAUUAUUUGUCUAUAAGAAACUAGGAAGGAUAUUAAAGAUGAGACAGUAAAGAAACCUGACUGAAUAUGGUUCCACUGACAACCGAGGAGUUUGCUUAAAAUGACAUGAAUAGUCAGUUUGAAAUAAAGGUUUGUUGAAACAUUUGGUGUUGCACAACCAGUUUCCACAUUAAUCAAUCCCUUAUGCUCUAAUUAAUACCUUGCUAAAAUGUUGAUUCUCAAAGAAAACAACAGUUUUUAACUUUUAUAGAUGUGUGGCACACUUUUGAAUUUAUUAUUAACAGGUUAAGUAUUGAAUAUUAAUCAGAAUAAUAAUCUGCUGUUGUAAUGCUUAUAGCAAGUGAGGUAUUUUACAUAUCUCCAUAUCCCACAGUGAUCCUACAAUGAGAACUUACCAUCAUUUUGCUAAUGAUGAGCCUGAAGAUCAGGGAUGUAAAGUAAGUUGCUUUUUUAUAUUACACAAUUUAUAUAGAUGAAGUCUAGGUUUAAAUCUGAGGCUGUCUUGUUUAAAUGUUCUUUUCUGAAUGCUCUAGGGGAGGAUUACUUUUGCUCUUCCAGCUUCUAGUAUUUGUUUCAAACAUUCCUUGACUUGUGGCUAUAUAACUGCAGUCCGUGCUUCCUUCUUCACAUGGCCUUCCCUUUGUGUCUGUGUCUUCUCUCUCUAUUUGUCAUUGUAUUUAGGAUAAUCCAGGAUGAUAAACCUGGAUGAUCCAAGAUCAUCUCAUCUACAGAGUCAUCCAACUGGAUCUGCAAAGACUCUUUUUCCAAAUAAGAUCACAUUCCCACUUCUGAGGAUUGAGAUGUGGGCAUGCCUUUUAGGGGACCAGAAUUUAACCCACAAUACUAGAUAUUGGAGGAACUGUUCUGCUCCCAAAACAGUAGGUUUGUCUUUGGAAUAUUUAGUAGUCAAAGUGCAGGAAGCCAAAGUUUACUAACAUAUAUAUAGAGAUUUGCAUAUAGCUGGUUAAUGCUGAUUCUCCAUGAAGACCAGCAGUAUAACAAUGACUGUCACUCUAGCACUAAUAGAAUAAGAAUGAUAUCUUAUUGGAAUGCUACUCAUGCUUUUGAAGUGGCUUCAUCAAAGCUGCAAUCCAUCCUGCCUAUUCAGUUGCGAAAAGAGACAUUAAUAAAUAGGUUGAAAGACCUCUGGUUUUCCUCCAUGAUGCCAACCUCAAAUAUAUAUAACCUUGUAGUCUAUUUUGAUGUAUCUUCCAUGAAUUUCUCAACCACCUCCUUAAUCUCUAAAUCUUUGCUCCCUCUCAAGGUAAACAUUCUUAAAAUACUGAGUAGCAUUUCAAUCUCUGAUUCUAUUUGUACUUUUCCAAACUUGAAGUCUGUCCUAUAGUAUUAACAUUCUCGGAUUUCAUGAAUAAUUCUGUGCUUACUCUCUCCAUAACUUCAAUAAUCCCAUUAUGUAAUAGGUCAGGUUCAGUGCCCUUUCUUUAACUUUUCAGACACUUUAACCCCAAGGCAUACUGAGAAUCUUUCCAUUCCAAAGCUGCACACAUCCCUUUCCAUAUAAGCUUUCAUGGAUUAUACAAACUAGAAAUGCAUCAUUACAUACAUUCAAAGAUGUCUUAAUUUUAUAUAAAAUAGGAAAACCUUUCUAGUUUGUUUUCAGUACAUGAUGAAAUGAUGAUCCCCAACAUUUUAUUAGUCUUUUUGGCUGCAGGUUCAUAUUAAGCUAAUAUUAUUAGUAAACAGUUCAAAGUGAUUUAUAGAUUAUUUUUUGACUGCAUCUCAUAUCUCAAAUCUUCUUAAAAAUAAAAUUUGUAUCAUUUUUCUUAAAUGUACUUUCCUUACUUUUAUCCUAAGAGCAAUUACUAACAUUUAUUCAGUACCUUUGAUUUGUGAGGCCCUAUAUUAAAUAUUCCAUGUGAGUUACCUCAUUAAAUCUCCAACAUGUACAACUACAUCCUAUCUUUUACAGGUAAAGAAACUGUGGCUGUGCCACUACUUUUUUGCUUAUUCACACAACCUGAUUUUCCUACUGGUUAUCUCUUUGGUUUGAAUGACUCAAAUUUCACUGCUUUGAGUGUGAUUUUAUUCACUACUUUUCUUCAUCAUUGGCAAAAUGUUGAAUUAGGACAGAUUCCAGUACUAAUCCAUGGGAGAUUCAUUUUUUAUUCAUUCAUUUAUUAAAUUCCAGGAAUUAUUCUGCACACUGAGAGUACAGUGGUAAUCAGUUGUGAUGGGCAACUCCCAAGAGGGCCCCAACAAUCUCCAUAGCCUAUAUCCCACCACUUUACGUAACUCUCCUUUAGUAUUGACUGGUCUAGUGACCCAUUUCUAAAAAGGACAAAAAUGAAGGGAUGUCAUUUCCAAGAUUAAUU
This 2646-nucleotide long non-coding RNA is filed under the name Sus scrofa (pig). RNAcentral's name for it is "lncRNA (ENSSSCG00000052392.1, ENSSSCG00025077722.1)". Lineage: Eukaryota; Metazoa; Chordata; Mammalia; Artiodactyla; Suidae. The record is from RNAcentral.